UUGAACGCUGGCGGCAGGCCUAACACCUGCAAGUCGAGCGGAUGAAGGGAGCUUGCUCCUGGAUUCAGCGGCGGACGGGUGAGUAAUGCCUAGGAAUCUGCCUGGUAGUGGGGGAUAACGUCCGGAAACGGGCGCUAAUACCGCAUACGUCCUGAGGGAGAAAGUGGGGGAUCUUCGGACCUCACGCUAUCAGAUGAGCCUAGGUCGGAUUAGCUAGUUGGUGGGGUAAAGGCCUACCAAGGCGACGAUCCGUAACUGGUCUGAGAGGAUGAUCAGUCACACUGGAACUGAGACACGGUCCAGACUCCUACGGGAGGCAGCAGUGGGGAAUAUUGGACAAUGGGCGAAAGCCUGAUCCAGCCAUGCCGCGUGUGUGAAGAAGGUCUUCGGAUUGUAAAGCACUUUAAGUUGGGAGGAAGGGCAGUAAGUUAAUACCUGGCUGUUUUGACGUUACCAACAGAAUAAGCACCGGCUAACUUCGU
RNAcentral lists this ribosomal RNA (482 nucleotides) under uncultured bacterium. RNAcentral's name for it is "partial 16S ribosomal RNA". It matches the Rfam family "Bacterial small subunit ribosomal RNA", at positions 30 to 506 of the family's 1533-position model. The record is from RNAcentral.